GAUGAACGCUGGCGGCACGCUUAACACAUGCAAGUCGAACGAUUAGAGCACCUUCGGGUGUGUAUAGAGUGGCGAACGGCUGAGUAACACGUGGGCAACCUGCCCUUCAGUUCGGAAUAGCUACGGGAAACCGUGGGUAAUACCGGAUGAUCCACUUCCCUCGCAUGAAGGAGGUGGCAAAGAUUUAUCGCUGAAGGAUGGGCCCGCGGCCUGUUAGCUUGUUGGUGAGGUAACGGCUCACCAAGGCAGUAAUGGGUAGCCGGGUUGAGAGACCGACCGGCCAGAUUGGGACUGAGACACGGCCCAGACUCCUACGGGAGGCAGCAGUGGGGAAUCUUGCGCAAUGGGCGAAAGCCUGACGCAGCGAUGCCGCGUGCGGGAUGAAGGCCUUCGGGUCGUAAACCGCUUUCAGCAGGGACGAGGCCGCAAGGUGACGUACCUGCAGAAAGAAGC
This 453-nucleotide ribosomal RNA is filed under the name Atopobium sp. oral taxon 810. Its description in RNAcentral is "bacterial SSU rRNA". It matches the Rfam family "Bacterial small subunit ribosomal RNA", at positions 28 to 491 of the family's 1533-position model. The record is from RNAcentral. Lineage: Bacteria; Bacillati; Actinomycetota; Coriobacteriia; Coriobacteriales; Atopobiaceae.